Molecule: long non-coding RNA, 1522 nt
Organism: Pseudopipra pipra
Lineage: Eukaryota; Metazoa; Chordata; Aves; Passeriformes; Pipridae
Exons: 2
Source: RefSeq, a predicted model, not a curated record
GCAGCGCCCCGCACGCCAGGCACCGAUCCCCGCCCCGGGCUCUCCCGAGCUGCGGGGCUGUCGGCGGAGCGGUGCCUCCCUCCCAGCCCGGGAACAUGCCAGCAGGGAUGGGGCUGAAAUCCUUCUGGAUCAGGAGUGGAGACAAAUUCUGCUCUGUUUGUAAACACUCCAAGGCUAAAAUUAGCAGGAGUCAGAAUCGUUUAUAAACUUCAAGCUCCCCCAACCGUCUUGAGGAACAUCGCAGGCAUACCGACACAUCUGCCGCCGAUUUAAAUAGCUCCCGGCAUCACCUUCCCUGCGAGUGCCUCCCGCGCCCGCCCGCCAGCUGACUGCUCCCCCUGCCAGCCCCUCGCCUCUCUUUAGGCUCCUUGACUUGACAACACCACCACCACUGACCGAGCACAUUUUCAGGUGGAGGAGCUAUCCACGUCCUCCAUAACACCUUGCAGAGACUGGAAGAAAAGCCUCGUUCAACCAGAAUAUUAGCCCAGCACAAAGGGGGGGGGUUCAGGGUCUGAUCAAACAUUGGAAGACCAGGAAAACUCUCACAGCAUGAGUGGUUUUUAAGCAGGCUUGUGCUGUGCAAUUUCAAGUUUGAGGGAAAACUAAGCCACAUUGUGUAUAGCAGACAACAUUAACUAGGAUGCAUAAGCCCCAUAUGUGUCUCUCCUUUCAGCAGUUACAGGCAACAGCUUAUAAAAGUGACCUUGGCUGUGUCUGAAGGAAAACAUGACAAUAGAGAAGUGGGGUUUUUUGAGUGGUUUGCUCAGUGUGUUCGAUAAAAUCUAUGCUUCUCAGAACAGGCUGCUAACCAAAUGCUGAACAAUCUGAAUAUGUCAUGUCAACAGUUAGUCUCAAGAGUUUGUAGAUCCUGACAUACCAACUUGACUUUUUUUGUUUUGCAAAGCACUUGAAACAUGCAACUACACAUACAGUGCUUUUUUAAAAGCCAUAGUGAAACCACAACAUCUUUUUUUUGGCCAUCUAUUGGCUUCAUAAAACUGAAGGAGAUUAAAUUAUACACUAAGCAGGUGGUGUAUUCUAAAAAGAAAGAAACAAAAAACAGCAUUACAGCCCAAUAAAGUAAACAUCUUAAGAAAAUGUCAGAACAAUACUACUUGGAAUUCUAUCCAGUGGUGGAGAAUAUGUCCAGGAGUUUUUUUGAAAGAGAAAAUCCAUGACCAUAAACCUGAGGUUACAGAAGGAACUCACAGAAAGAGCUGAAUUUAUUUAAGAGAGAAAAACAACCGAACCAAAAAGUAUAACUCCUCUGCUUGGUGUUAUUGGCUCAACAUGGGAAAACUAACAUCUCCACCUCCACCAAAGAAAUAAAUAGAAUUCCAUGAGAAGGGAUUGGGAGAUCUUACUGAGCUUAUUUCAUACAACUAAUACAAUUGGUACCACUGCUGGGGUUCUUUUUGAGAAAAAAAAAAAAGGAAAAUAUUAAAUUAGAUGUUUGUAAAGAGCAAUCAGGAUAUUCUGGACACAUGACUUUAUUAAAUACAGCUGCUUACCACCCUUA